GGUGCAUUCUUUCUUCUUUAAGGAUGUUCCAAACAGUUGAUUUGGCCACACCUAAUGAUUUUGCUAUCUCUAUGAUGGGUUUGAUUUGUUUUUUUAGCCUAAUGAUGGCUUGCUUCACUGAUAGUUGUCACGAUUCUGGAACCUAACACGCUAACAGAACACAGAGAGGAAAGAUGCUAUACCAGUCCUUAGAGUGGCUGGGCUAAGCACACUAAGAAUGGUCAGGAGACAAG
Pelobates cultripes (western spadefoot toad) is the source of this 233-nucleotide non-coding RNA. The record is from the annotation of a GenBank genome assembly. Lineage: Eukaryota; Metazoa; Chordata; Amphibia; Anura; Pelobatidae.